UACAUGUAAAUAAUCUCAGAGAUUUCUCCCUAUUCUUCUGCAAUACAUUCCGUAAGAAAUAUUAAAAUGAAGCCCUCAGGGCAGAUGCUUAUCGACAUAAAGAUCGAACAAUAUUCAUAGAAGAAAAUCAAGUGUUUCUAUUUACAAGAUCCUCGAGAUGCGGUAUAUAACUAAAAAUUUGCAAUUAAAAAUCAAGCAAAAUCCCUAAGGUGCCCACAGACUUUGGGGCGAAGGGGUGAACGGGAAUGGGGAAGGAAGGGAGAGGAGAGAAAGGAAGAAAUCAAAAACAGGUGUUAAAGGGAUCAACUGUAAAGGGAUGCCGACUCAAAAGGUAGAGUGGCGUGGGUAGUAAAAACAGAACUAAAAUAAGGGAGCGCCGUGGAAAAGAAGAUCCCGGUGUACUUAUACCCAAAACAGGAAAUCUAAUCUAAUCUAACUAAAGACAACGUCUAAAACCUGAAAUAAAAUCUCUCAAGAAAACUACUAGGCAAUGGGAAAACACAAAAAAAAUAUCAUCUGCAAGCUCUGUUGUAUACCCUAAUUACAAUAAAAUAAAAAAUUAAUUCCAUAUUUUUGGUGUGACGUUAUAGUAUCAGUUUAUUCAAUCUUAUACUUUAUUUGUUUAACUAAUGAUAAAAAUGGGGUAUUUCGUAAUUAUAAAGCUGUUUUACUUACAAAUUAAUAAUCAUAAUCAACAUUUAGUGCAAGAUUACCUUCGAAAUAGGCCUAUUUUACCCAGUUUACAGACAGUCAAAUCAAGGCCUAAAUGAUAAUGACUUUAAAGGAUAUUUAUGCUAUAUGCUAACACCUAAGUUGCUUUUAUCAAGAGGUGAUUGUCUUUUAUACUUGAGAACUUUAAGUGAAGCUGCUGGUAUUGUCGAACGUCAAGCAGGUCUCAGGAACGGGAAGAAACUUGACAGAGAUUCACAAAGUUAAAGCUAUAAAUCCUAAAAGAGACUUCUCUCUUGUGUGCUUGCUUGAAUAGUCCAAUGUAGUUCAAGAUAAAGCUUUGGAGACGGGAAGAAUCUUGCAAAAGUUGAGAGUAUGCAAAGACAUGGAGUGUGGACACGACUUCUUUGGUACUUGCUCUUCUAUGCAGCACAACAUCAAGGUUAGUGACAAAUACUCUAUUUUUCAAAUAGCCCCAAAAAAAGUAAUCUAAAGAGGAGAGGUUCGGAGACUUAGCUGGCCAUUCUAUGGUACCCCCUCUGCCUAUCCAUCUAUUAGGAAAAAUAAAAGUUAAAUAAUUACGUACAUGUCGACUAUAGGAGCUCCAC
Anthonomus grandis grandis is the source of this 1277-nucleotide long non-coding RNA. RefSeq lists it as uncharacterized. The transcript is spliced from 4 exons. Lineage: Eukaryota; Metazoa; Arthropoda; Insecta; Coleoptera; Curculionidae. The record is from RefSeq and is a predicted model, not a curated record.